UCUCCGUUCUAUUUUUCGCGCUCAACUUUAGUCGUCCGUUUUAUUUGAAAUUUUUUUAAUUAGUAUUUUUAUUUUUAUAAAAUAAUAAAACAUAAAUAAUACUUUAUACGUGACUUAUGUUUUUAAUUUUUUUAAAAAAAAUUAAAAAUAAAGACGGAUGAUUAAAGUUGGAUAUGAAAACUGAUAGCUGCAGUUAAA
Molecule: non-coding RNA, 198 nt
Organism: Oryza glumipatula
Lineage: Eukaryota; Viridiplantae; Streptophyta; Magnoliopsida; Poales; Poaceae
Source: Rfam